Molecule: long non-coding RNA, 3833 nt
Organism: Canis lupus familiaris (dog)
Lineage: Eukaryota; Metazoa; Chordata; Mammalia; Carnivora; Canidae
Exons: 2
Source: RefSeq, a predicted model, not a curated record
UCAGAUCUUGAUCUCAGUCAUGAGUUUGAGCCCCACGUUGGGCUCCGUGCUGGACAUGAAGCCUACUUAAAAAAAAAAAAAAAAAUCUCUAAUGACCUAACCCUGAAUUCAUUCUGUUUCUGAAAGUAUUCUUUCAUUCAUACCCAAGAAUUUAACUUAAUAGCAUUCUCUUCUUGAGAAAUUACAGGUAUUUUUUAAAAUCUCUGGUGAAUUUCCAUGAUGAGAAAUGAUACUGGUGGAAAGUAUAGCAAUCCCAUGAAUAUUUUGCCUGGAAAUGGUCUCCAAGCAACUUCUAAUUAGAUCUCUACCAGACACUAGGAAAAGUUUGAGACUUUAAAGAAAGGAUCUGUUUGCAUCUAAUUUCUACUUUGGCUGCUCCUACCGCAGUGAGUAGCAGUUCUGGAUCAAGUUCCCAGUGGCAGCACUGUUGGGGGAUAGUCUGCAUAUUUUUAGGAUGACUGACAUCAUCCUAAAAGGUUGGAUUACACUCUUUUUUCUGAAAAUUUAUGACUUUGGCUGUUAUUUAGAGCACUUAAAUCUUCAGAGUCUCACCAAAGUUUUUUGUUUUGUUUCUUUUCAAAUGAUCUUCAGAAGUGUAUUGUAGAUAUGCCACACCCUGAAUGAUAACACUUUUAUUGGUAAAGUUACAGCACAGUGCAACAAACAGAUCAAAAGCACACUACAAUUUCUCUUCCAUUGGUUCUGAAAACCCUAGGCCUCUACUUUAAAAGAGAUCCAGACUCCCCAAGAGUCCUAUAGGUCCACUAAAAAAAAAUUUGUAGUUGAUUUUUUUCAACCCUCCAUCAAUUCUAAUGAACUUAGAAGAAAUUACAGGCAACCUCCAACAUGCAUUUUAGAACUGAAUUUGUAUAAGAAUGAUGGCCAUGAUCUUUGAUAUGAUGUAGGUUGAAAAGGCAAAAAAUCUCAUUUGUAUGAAUUUGUGCAAACGUUUCCUGUGGAAGAAAUGAUACAGAGAAAAGGAGUAAGUUCCCAGAUUCGCAUAUAAAAGCCUAUUAAACCAUAAUUUAGCAAAACUGCUUUUAUGGAAAAAGUAUCCCUUGCCAGUCCCAGGCAUGAGAGUCCAUCCCCUGUCCUAAAAUAACUACAUCUUUCCAAAUUUUGAGACGGGUGAUCUGAGAUCAUGAACUGUAACUUCCUUAAUAUCAGAGACUUAUCUCCAUCCCCAGUGAGUUGUAUGUAUGAGAGGUGGGGAGGAGCUAUGGGAAAAGCUCUAAAUGAAAGGAACAACGUAUACAAAACUGGGUGGUUAGAGUUUGGCAGGGUAAAGUAAGUGGGUCUUCCAGCACUUCGGCCUCCCAUUCUUGGUUACUGCAGUGGUCCUGGGAAGCCCUAUCCUCAGGGCUUCACUGCAAUCUGGGCUCAGUUUUCAAUUUUGCAGACAUUCUAGGGAAUGCAGGGCAUUCCUUUCCCUGACUCCCACUUCCCUACCUCUGGCCUCAAGUUUAGACCUCAUUGGUUUCCAAAAAAGACUUCCCUUCUUUCUUCUCUCAGGGUCCUCCCCUCUCAUGCAUCUUUCCCUUCCAAUCCUGGGCUUCUCCCUCUACCUCUUUACUAAGAAGCCACCCUGCUGUUGACCUAUGCCCCUCACAGACUUUUGCACUCAGCAUACUUUUUAACGUUCCCCUUUCCCCAUUCUCUUCUUGUUCUCUGUCCUCUUUCUAAUUUGAUGGAGUCCUCUCUCACUUCCUGACCUGUGCCUUAUUUCUCAUCCUCUUGACUCCCUUUUCUUACUUCCACUGUGGACAACCUUCUCCCAUCUCUCCUAUCCCACUUCUGACUCUUUCUUCUGUCUGGCCAUUGAGCUGAUAAUGUUCUUUUUCUUUCCACGUCUUAUUCCUUUCCUUCUCUCCAUCCAUACUAGAGGCCCUUCUCUACCUCCUCUCCAAUUUCCUUCCUGCAUCUUUCUCCCACUUUCUAUCCUACUCUCUGACUGCCUGUCCUCCAUUACAGAUCCUUCCUCCUCUUCCUGACCCAAGGACCUCCACCCAUCCCAUUCCUUUUCUCUGUUUCUUUUUCCUCAAAGUCCUUCACCUGAGUCAGGGUCCCUUUCUGCUCUGGACUGUAUUUUCAGUCCCUGUGUUUUUGACUCUAGGCUAAAAACACGUCUUCAUCAUUCCUAACUCCUAGGAGUCCCACACCUCUAACCAAGCUGAGCUUUUAUUCUUCAUCUCUCUCCCCUCCAUAUUUCCCAGGUAUUCUUAAAACUUUUUACAUAUGAAAAUAACCAAAUGCAGCAAUGGAGGUACUAAUAUGCUUCAAACAUGCUUCUUGCUGUUCCUGAACACUCCCCUUACCCUUUCCCCACAUCUGGCUUCUUUUCUUCAGAUUUUAGCCUAAAAAUCACAUCCUCAGAGAAUCCUUCCCCACUUACCCAAUGUAAAAGGGCUCCAAAUCCCACACACAUACCAUUUGAUUUGUUUUCUGAAGAAUAUUGAAAAAAAAGUAAAGAAUAUUUAACAUUGAUGUCUUGAUGUGUUGUCUGUCCAUCUAGCAUUGAAGCUCCACGAUUAGAGGUAUCAGUUAGAAUGGUGCCUUGCAGGCAGCCCAGGUGGCUCAGUGGUUUAGGGCUGCCUUCAGCCCAGGGCGUGAUCCUGGAGAUCUGGGAUCAAGUCCCAUGUCGGGCUCCCUGCAUGGAGCCUGCUUCUCCCUCUGCCUGUGUCUCUGCCUCUUUCUCUGUGUAUGUCUCUCAUGAAUAUAUAAAUAAAACCUUAAAAAAAAAGAAAAAAAAAGAAUGGUGCCUGGCACAAAAUGGCUCAGUCAGAAUUUGCAAAAUAAGUUCGUGAUUGCUGGGUGCCAGACACCAUGCUGAGUGCUCAUUUUGUAUUACCUCAUUUAAUCCUUACAACAAGCCUGAUAAAGUACUUUAUUAUUGCUAUUUUACACCCUAACAAACUGAAGUGCAAAAAAAUAAGUGAAUUUCCUUAUUGUCUCAAAAUAAUUGGCAUACUAGGAAUUUAAUCCAAAUCUGUACAUAGUCAUAGCCUGUGUUCCUUCUACUUUCUCCGGCUGUCCAGAGGUGCUUAGGAAUGGAAAGGAAAGGAAAUGGAUCUGAAUGCAAGAUAGGCCAAAUGGGGAUCAGAGCUCCAUUUCUGUAGCAGGGAGUGCAGGGAUUUACAGUAAAGACACAAGAUCCUAAGUGAAGAGGAGAAUAAGAGCUAACUACUUUGUGUCAGGUACUGUUUGGAGCAAUAUAUUGAAACUUCACCUAGGAGAGGUAGGUAAUAUCAUUUUACAGGUAAGAAGACGGAGCCUGAGAGAUGCCAUUUAUCUUCUCCAAGGUCAUAUGUCUAAGAUAUGGGGAAGCUGGGAUCUGACUCCAGAACACAUACUCUGAUUGCUAUCCCUCCUCACUACCCUUUUAUAAACAGAUAUAGAAUAGUGGUAUACUGUGUGUUGGGCACUAACUCCUGCUUCCUGGAUUUUGUUUUCUUCAUGGAAUGACCUCAGGUAAUGUGACACUCCUCCCUCCUGGCCUAUUUCUCACUGCUCUCCACAGAGGAGAAAAUUGAUGACAUCCGUUCAUCCCGGUCACUCCACUGACACUGGGGAGACCCCUCCCCCCGCCUUUGAAUCUUUCCUGUUCACCUGGGUUCAGCAUAGGGCAGCAGUUCUGCACUGGUGCAUCUGCUCUACGGAUUAAAAUUUUUUCCUUGAGUGAAUAUCCCAGGUUUAGAUUAGCCAAGCAUCAGAGGGACAAAAAUGGAGAGCAAGCCCUCCUGACCUUAACUAAAACACUAUUUGCUAAUCAGCUUUAUUGCUAAAAAACAAUUUUGAACUAAAAAAAAAAAAAAAACCUUCCUUGAUCCUUGAUG